This 466-nucleotide ribosomal RNA is filed under the name uncultured bacterium. RNAcentral's name for it is "partial 16S ribosomal RNA". It matches the Rfam family "Bacterial small subunit ribosomal RNA", at positions 28 to 507 of the family's 1533-position model. The record is from RNAcentral.
GAUGAACGCUGGCGGCGUGCUUAACACAUGCAAGUCGAACGGAAAGGCUCCUGCUUGCAGGGGUACUCGAGUGGCGAACGGGUGAGUAACACGUGGGUGAUCUGCCCUGCACUUCGGGAUAAGCCUGGGAAACUGGGUCUAAUACCGGAUAGGACGAUGGUUUGGAUGCCAUUGUGGAAAGUUUUUCGGUGUGGGAUGAGCUCGCGGCCUAUCAGCUUGUUGGUGGGGUAAUGGCCUACCAAGGCGUCGACGGGUAGCCGGCCUGAGAGGGUGUACGGCCACAUUGGGACUGACAGACGGCCCAGACUCCUACGGGAGGCAGCAGUGGGGAAUAUUGCACAAUGGGCGUAAGCCUGAUGCAGCGACGCCGCGUGGGGGAUGACGGCCUUCGGGUUGUAAACUCCUUUCGCUAGGGACGAAGCGUUUUGUGACGGUACCUGGAGAAGAAGCACCGGCUGACUACGUG